This 624-nucleotide ribosomal RNA is filed under the name fungal endophyte. RNAcentral's name for it is "eukaryotic LSU rRNA". The stretch from base 225 to 378 matches the Rfam family "5.8S ribosomal RNA". Lineage: Eukaryota; Fungi. The record is from RNAcentral.
AUUAUUGAGUUUAACAAAGCGGACUUGAUGCUGGCAUGUCUCUGGACUUGCAUGUGCUCAGUCUGCGCUCAUCCACUUCACACCUGUGCACUUUCAAAGGGGGAUUGGAUCUUAUUAGAUAGAUUUGCAAAGAUCUUCGAACAGUUCAGUUCUUCUUUACAUAUAUAAACACUAUAUUGUUUGUGUAGAAUGUACUUGCCUCUUGUAGGUGAAUAAUACUAUACAACUUUCAACAACGGAUCUCUUGGCUCUCGCAUCGAUGAAGAACGCAGCGAAAUGCGAUAAGUAAUGUGAAUUGCAGAAUUCAGUGAAUCAUCGAAUCUUUGAACGCACCUUGCACUCCUUGGUAUUCCGAGGAGUAUGCCUGUUUGAGUGUCAUGUUAAUCUCAAUUCAACAUGUUUUUGUGUUUGAAUUGGACUUGGAGUCUGCUGGCGUCAAAGUCGGCUUCUCUUGAAUGCAUUAGCUGGGCUUUUGCUCGAGUAAUUGGUGUAAUAGUUCUCUACAUUCGCCGUUACACUUGCUUAGAAAGUCUGCUUCUAACCGUCUUGUAAUGAGACAAUAUAACUUUGACUUUUGGCCUCAAAUCAGGUAGGACUACCCGCUGAACUUAAGCAUAUCAAUAA